CCUACGGGAGGCAGCAGUGAGGAAUAUUGGUCAAUGGCCGCAGGGCUGAACCAGCCAAGUCGCGUGAGGGAUGACGGUCCUAUGGAUUGUAAACCUCUUUUGUCAGGGAGCAAAGGGCGCCACGUGUGGCGCUUUGCGAGUACCUGAAGAAAAAGCAUCGGCUAACUCCGUGCCAGCAGCCGCGGUAAUACGGAGGAUGCGAGCGUUAUCCGGAUUUAUUGGGUUUAAAGGGUGCGCAGGCGGAAUGUCAAGUCAGCGGUAAAAUUUCGGGGCUCAACCCCGUAGUGCCGUUGAAACUGGCGUUCUUGAGUGAGCGAGAAGUAUGCGGAAUGCGUGGUGUAGCGGUGAAAUGCAUAGAUAUCACGCAGAACUCCGAUUGCGAAGGCAGCAUACCGGCGCUCAACUGACGCUCAUGCACGAAAGCGUGGGUAUCGAACAGGAUUAGAUACCCCGGUAGUC
This 459-nucleotide ribosomal RNA is filed under the name uncultured bacterium. Its description in RNAcentral is "partial 16S ribosomal RNA". It matches the Rfam family "Bacterial small subunit ribosomal RNA", at positions 338 to 795 of the family's 1533-position model. The record is from RNAcentral.